GAUGAACGCUGGCGGCGUGCCUAAUACAUGCAAGUAGAACGCUGAAGGAGGAGCUUGCUCUUCUGGUUGAGUUGCGAACGGGUGAGUAACGCGUAGGUAACCUGCCUGGUAGCGGGGGAUAACUAUUGGAAACGAUAGCUAAUACCGCAUGACAACAGUUAUUGCAUGAUAACUGUUUAAAAGGGGCAACUGCUCCACUACCAGAUGGACCUGCGUUGUAUUAGCUAGUUGGUGAGGUAACGGCUCACCAAGGCGACGAUACAUAGCCGACCUGAGAGGGGGAUCGGCCACACUGGGACUGGGACACGGCCCAGACUCCUACGGGAGGCAGCAGUAGGGAAUCUUCGGCAAUGGACGGAAGUCUGACCGAGCAACGCCGCGUGAGGGAAGAAGGGUUUCGGAUCGUAAAGCUCUGUUGUAAGAGAAGAACGAGUGUGAGAGUGGAAAGUUCACACUGUGACGGUAUCUUACCAGAAAGGGACGGCUAACUACGUG
RNAcentral lists this ribosomal RNA (495 nucleotides) under uncultured bacterium. RNAcentral's name for it is "partial 16S ribosomal RNA". It matches the Rfam family "Bacterial small subunit ribosomal RNA", at positions 28 to 507 of the family's 1533-position model. The record is from RNAcentral.